This 325-nucleotide long non-coding RNA is filed under the name Jatropha curcas. RNAcentral's name for it is "long non-coding RNA (JCUR_LNC002575)". Lineage: Eukaryota; Viridiplantae; Streptophyta; Magnoliopsida; Malpighiales; Euphorbiaceae. The record is from RNAcentral.
CGGUUACGGAAUUUGUCCAUAACAUCCUCCCCCACUCAAAACCAGGCACGUCCUCGUGCCGAGGGAAGUCGACUUGCCCUUGGACCGUCCUUGCUUUACGCCCCACUUCGACCCACUCCUCUAGCUUUAUGUAGCCAUGCCUGCCCCCGAAACACAUGCUCCGAAAUACGCGCUCGGUGCCUGAGGUCUGCGCCAUUGGUUUGACACCGGAUAGAGGUGCGAUGCCUAGCCGCCAUCUGCAUCGCCCGAAGAUGUGUGAUGCCUAGGACUCUGCCAUUGCUCGGACAUCACGCGGAGCUGUGGUGCCUAGGACUCCGCCAUUGCN